Molecule: long non-coding RNA, 638 nt
Filed under: Chloebia gouldiae (Gouldian finch)
Lineage: Eukaryota; Metazoa; Chordata; Aves; Passeriformes; Passeridae
Description: Erythrura gouldiae (Gouldian finch) lncRNA (ENSEGOG00005006785.1)
Source: RNAcentral
UGCAGAGCUUGUGCUCAAAGAUCUGCACACAAAAACAUGCCUUGUGGCCCUUUUCACUCAAAAAGAACAGUUUUUGGUUUAGUUUUCCCUACAGCGUGGAUUUUGUAAACUGAAGUUGCCUCCACGGCCCUGACUGAGAGUCUCUUAAAAUGAAGUUUUCCUUGAUGUCUAGUCACUAGAGAUUUUCAUUAGCAUCCUGACACUUUGCCUCUCAAGUUAGUGCAUUUAUCAUCGUCCUUGUCUUUUGAAAGGGUCUCUGACUGUGGUUGGGAAGAGGAGCCUGGGGAGCGAGGGUGUCAGCGAGGUAAACACAGAGUGAUGCUGCUUCUGGCAAGGCCUUCCUUGCCUGAAAACCUGAUCUUCCUGAGCUGGGUGUUGUGUUUCUGUCUUUGUGUUUGAGAUGUCCCAAUGGACCUUUCCUUCAUGAGGAUGUUUAUAUACGUUUAUACUCAUUUAUACGUUUGAUGUCCCAAGCAUCCUAUUGAUAAAACUUUGUCUUCGGAGAACAAGACUUUCAUUUGUUCUAAACCUUAUUCCCGUUGCUACCGGUUGUGCUCCCCAGGUUAUGGAAAAUAAUAUGCACAUACACAUAUACACAUAACUUGAAAGGAAAAUAAUCUAUGAUAAUUUUCUUCAUG